CUUGUAUAGUGUGCAGUCCAAUUCAUUUCAGGUGCUUCCUGCUUGUUAACAUAAUCCCAAUGCAGUUUUAAAACGACAGCUAGGGUUGAUGUUAUGAUAAUGCUGCAGACUGUAAGAAGGAGACACCAUAACCAAUUUUCUAGCAUACUUUUGCUUCCAUCUUUGCAUUUCUUUCUUACUGUAUAAGAUAAUUCAGGUUCAGUCUGUUUUCUCCAGAGUCUUUCUUAUAAUGAUGUUGAUGAUUCAUUUUUCAUACAUUCCAUGUUAACUGUGAAUGUAUCACGUCUGUCUGUUCAUCC
Molecule: non-coding RNA, 299 nt
Organism: Pelobates cultripes (western spadefoot toad)
Lineage: Eukaryota; Metazoa; Chordata; Amphibia; Anura; Pelobatidae
Source: the annotation of a GenBank genome assembly